Molecule: long non-coding RNA, 574 nt
Filed under: Nicotiana benthamiana
Lineage: Eukaryota; Viridiplantae; Streptophyta; Magnoliopsida; Solanales; Solanaceae
Description: long non-coding RNA (NBEN_LNC020155)
Source: RNAcentral
ACUUGGGAGCUUGUCCCUCUUCCUUCAGGUAAUUCUACUGUUGGUUGUCGUUGGGUGUAUGCAGUCAAGGUUGGUCUAGAUGGUAAGGUUGAUCGUCUUAAGGCUCGUCUUGUGGCCCCUGUAUCAGCUGGACAUUAAAAAUGCAUUUUUACACGGUGACCUUGAGGAUGAAGUUUAUAUGGAGCAACCACCUGGGUUUGUUGCUCAGGGGAGGCUCGUCUUGUUGCCAAGGGAUAUACUUAGAUAUUUGGGCUUGAUUACAAUGAUACAUUCUCUCCCGUGGCUAAGAUAGAUUCAGUCCACCUUUUUCUCUCCAUGGCUGCUGUUCACCAUUGGCCCCUCUAUCAGCUGGACAUUAAGAAUGCUUUUUUACAUGGUGACCUUACAGAUGAAGUUUAUAUGGAGCAACCACCUGGGUUUGUUGCUCAGGGGGAGUCUCGUGGUCUUGUAUGUCGCUUGCGCCGGUCACUUUAUGGUCUAAAGCACUCUCCUCGAGCCUGGUUUGGUAAGUUCAGCACAGUUAUCCAAGAAUUUGGCAUGAUUCGGAGUGAAGCUAAUCACUCUGUGUUCUAUC